RNAcentral lists this ribosomal RNA (1433 nucleotides) under metagenome. Its description in RNAcentral is "bacterial LSU rRNA". It matches the Rfam family "Bacterial large subunit ribosomal RNA", at positions 1481 to 2925 of the family's 2925-position model. The record is from RNAcentral.
UCAAAGGACGAGCCGGGAAUGGAAAAACCGGUGCAAGCGAGGUAGCUUCAUGGGAGGGAAAGCCCCCAUGUAUAAGGCGAAUGCGUGAAGCGUAGCGAACUUAAAAGUAGCGAAGCGUGUGGAGUCACUGUCAGGAAAAGCCGCUAUUGCGUAUCAUGAACCCGUACCGUAAACCGACACAGGUGGAUGAGGAGAGAAUCCUAAGGCCGACGGAAGAAGCAUUGUUAAGGAAUUCGGCAAAAUGACCCCGUAACUUCGGGAGAAGGGGUGCCUACGAAUGUGGGCCGCAGAGAAUUGGCCCAAGCAACUGUUUAGCAAAAACACAGGUUUAUGCGAAACCGAAAGGUGAAGUAUAUGAGCUGACGCCUGCCCGGUGCUGGAAGGUUAAGGGGAGAGCUUAGAGGCAACUCGAAGGUUCGAACUUAAGCCCCAGUAAACGGCGGCCGUAACAAUAACGGUCCUAAGGUAGCGAAAUUCCUUGUCGGGUAAGUUCCGACCCGCACGAAAGGCGUAAUGAUUUGGGCACUGUCUCGACAAUGCAUCCGGUGAAAUUGAAAUACCAGUGAAGAUGCUGGUUACCCGCGCCAGGACGGAAAGACCCCAUGGAGCUUUACUCCAGUUUGAUGCUGGGAUUCGGUACUGCAUGUACGGGAUAGGCGGGAGACUAGGAAGAUAUAACGCCAGUUGUAUCAGAGUCGCUGUUGGGAUACCGCCCUUGUAGUACUGGGUUUCUAACCUGCCACCGUGAACCGGUGGAGGGACAACGUCAGGCGGGGAGUUUGACUGGGGCGGUCGCCUCCGAAAGGGUAUCGGAGGCGCUCAAAGGUUCCCUCAGAAUGGUUGGAAACCAUUCGAAGAGUGCAAAGGCAGAAGGGAGCUUGACUGCGAGGUCGACGGACCGAGCAGGUACGAAAGUAGGACUUAGUGAUCCGGUGGUAGAAAGUGGGAUUGCCAUCGCUCAACGGAUAAAAGCUACCCUGGGAUAACAGGCUAAUCACUCCCAAGAGUUCACAUCGACGGAGUGGUUUGGCACCUCGAUGUCGGCUCAUCGCAUCCUGGGGCUGUAGCAGGUCCCAAGGGUUGGGCUGUUCGCCCAUUAAAGCGGUACGUGAGCUGGGUUCAGAACGUCGUGAGACAGUUCGGUCCCUAUCCGGCGCGGGCGUAGGAUAUCUGAAAGGAGCUGGCCUUAGUACGAGAGGACCGGGCUGGACGGACCGCUGGUGUAUCUGUUGUCAUACCAAUGGCAUAGCAGGGUAGCCAAGUCUGGAAGGGAUAAACGCUGAAGGCAUCUAAGCGUGAAGCCCCCCUUAAGAUAAGAUAUCCCUGGAGUUAAUCCAGUAAGACCCCUUGAAGACGACGAGGUAGAUAGGGCAGAGGUGGAAGUGUGGUAACACAUGGAGCUGACUGUCACUAAUAGGUCGAGGGCUUGACCG